Molecule: ribosomal RNA, 281 nt
Filed under: uncultured prokaryote
Description: partial 16S ribosomal RNA
Rfam family: Bacterial small subunit ribosomal RNA
Source: RNAcentral
GUGUCAGCAGCCGCGGUAAUACGUAGGGUGCAAGCGUUAAUCGGAAUUACUGGGCGUAAAGCGUGCGCAGGCGGUUUGCUAAGACCGAUGUGAAAUCCCCGGGCUCAACCUGGGAACUGCAUUGGUGACUGGCAGGCUAGAGUAUGGCAGAGGGGGGUAGAAUUCCACGUGUAGCAGUGAAAUGCGUAGAGAUGUGGAGGAAUACCGAUGGCGAAGGCAGCCCCCUGGGCCAAUACUGACGCUCAUGCACGAAAGCGUGGGGAGCAAACAGGAUUAGAUAC